CAAACUCCGAAUGCCGUCAUCUUAUACUUGGGAGUCAGACUGUGGGUGAUAAGAUUCAUAGUCGAAAGGGCAACAGCCCAGAUCGUCAGCUACGGUCCCUAAAUGUAAGUUAAGGGGUAAAGGAUGUGGGAUUGCACAGACAACCAGGAUGUUGGCUUAGAAGCAGCCACUCAUUCAAAGAGUGCGUAAUAGCUCACUGGUCGAGUGAUCCUGCGCCGAA
This 220-nucleotide ribosomal RNA is filed under the name Clostridioides difficile. RNAcentral's name for it is "partial 23S ribosomal RNA". It matches the Rfam family "Bacterial large subunit ribosomal RNA", at positions 950 to 1168 of the family's 2925-position model. Lineage: Bacteria; Bacillati; Bacillota; Clostridia; Peptostreptococcales; Peptostreptococcaceae. The record is from RNAcentral.